Molecule: ribosomal RNA, 200 nt
Filed under: uncultured organism
Description: partial small subunit ribosomal RNA
Rfam family: Bacterial small subunit ribosomal RNA
Source: RNAcentral
CGUCAAGUCCUCAUGGCCUUUAUGCCCAGGGCUGCACACGUGCUACAAUGGCGUGAACAGAGGGAAGCGAGACCGCGAGGUGGAGCCAAUCCCAGAAAGCGCGUCGUAGUCCGGAUUGGAGUCUGCAACUCGACUCCAUGAAGUCGGAAUCGCUAGUAAUCGCGGAUCAGCAUGUCGCGGUGAAUACGUUCCCGGGCCUU